This 504-nucleotide ribosomal RNA is filed under the name uncultured bacterium. Its description in RNAcentral is "partial 16S ribosomal RNA". It matches the Rfam family "Bacterial small subunit ribosomal RNA", at positions 29 to 523 of the family's 1533-position model. The record is from RNAcentral.
AUUGAACGCUGGCGGCAGGCCUAACACAUGCAAGUCGAGCGGUAGCACAGAGAGCUUGCUCUCGGGUGACGAGCGGCGGACGGGUGAGUAAUGUCUGGGAAACUGCCUGAUGGAGGGGGAUAACUACUGGAAACGGUAGCUAAUACCGCAUAACGUCGCAAGACCAAAGUGGGGGACCUUCGGGCCUCAUGCCAUCAGAUGUGCCCAGAUGGGAUUAGCUGGUAGGUGGGGUAACGGCUCACCUAGGCGACGAUCCCUAGCUGGUCUGAGAGGAUGACCAGCCACACUGGAACGGAGACACGGUCCAGACUCCUGCGGGAGGAAGCAGUGGGGAAUAUUGCACAAUGGGAGCAAGCCUGAUGCAGCCAUGCCGCGUGUGUGAAGAAGGCCUUCGGGUUGUAAAGCACUUUCAGCGGGGAGGAAGGCGAUGAGGUUAAUAACCUCAUCGAUUGACGUUACCCGCAGAAGAAGCACCGGCUAACUCCGUGCCAGCCGCCGCCGUAA